ACCACAACAGGUGGAGCCUGCGGUUUAAUCGGAACGUUCAAACGCCGGGAAACUCACCAGAUAAGACAGCUGAAUGAUAGUCGGGCUGAAGACUCUACUUGACUAGCUGAGAGGAGGUGCAUGGCCGUCGUCAGUUCGUACUGUGAAGCAUCCUGUUAAGUCAGGCACGAGCGAGACCCACGCCAACAGUUGCCAGCUCGUCCUCCGGGAUGGUGGGGACACUGUUGGGACCGCCUCUGCUAAAGAGGAGGAAGGAAUGGGCAACGGUAGGUCAGCAUGCCCCGAAUUAUCUGGGCUACACGCGGGCUACAAUGGGUGGGACAAUGGGUAUCGACACCGAAAGGUGAAGGCAAUCUCCUAAACCCAUCCGUAGUUCGGAUUGUGGGCUGCAACUCGCCCACAUGAAGCUGGAAUCUGUAGUAAUCGUGUCUCAAAAUGGCACGGUGAAUAUGUCCCUGCUCCUU
Molecule: ribosomal RNA, 464 nt
Filed under: uncultured Methanomicrobiales archaeon
Lineage: Archaea; Methanobacteriati; Methanobacteriota; Methanomicrobia; Methanomicrobiales
Description: bacterial SSU rRNA
Rfam family: Archaeal small subunit ribosomal RNA
Source: RNAcentral